RNAcentral lists this ribosomal RNA (424 nucleotides) under uncultured prokaryote. Its description in RNAcentral is "bacterial SSU rRNA". It matches the Rfam family "Bacterial small subunit ribosomal RNA", at positions 355 to 796 of the family's 1533-position model. The record is from RNAcentral.
UGGGGAAUCUUGGACAAUGGGGGCAACCCUGAUCCAGCGACGCCGCGUGGGUGAAGAAGGCCUUAGGGUUGUAAACCCCUUUCGCCGGGGAAGAUGAUGACGGUACCCGGAGAAGAAGCACCGGCUAACUCCGUGCCAGCAGCCGCGGUAAUACGGAGGGGGCUAGCGUUGUUCGGAAUUACUGGGCGUAAAGGGCGUGUAGGCGGUUUGUCUAGUCAGGCGUGAAAGCCCCGGGCUCAACCUGGGAACUGCGUUUGAUACUGGCAGGCUAGAGGUUGGAAGAGGAGAGUGGAAUUCCCAGUGUAGAGGUGAAAUUCGUAGAUAUUGGGAAGAACACCAGUGGCGAAGGCGGCUCUCUGGUCCAUACCUGACGCUGAGGCGCGAAAGCGUGGGGAGCAAACAGGAUUAGAUACCCCCGUAGUCC